UGCACCAAUGUGGGAUUUUUGCAGAAUGA
This 29-nucleotide non-coding RNA is filed under the name Mus musculus (house mouse). Lineage: Eukaryota; Metazoa; Chordata; Mammalia; Rodentia; Muridae. The record is from RNAcentral.